GAAGGAGAUGUCGUCCAACGUGUUUGUACAUCAAUUACCUACUUUACCUAUAGAUCAACAGUGGUUGGGAGCGCUUCUAAUUGUGGUUACAACAGCGAGGUAAAUCAAUACUUCAUCAAUAACUGACAUAUUCUUGCAGCAUAUGAACUUAAAAUAGAGUACAUGAAUUGGACUGACGAGGCAACAAAGAUGAUGCAUGCUUGGGGACAUUAGGUUUGAUGUUAUUACCGAGGUA
Triticum dicoccoides is the source of this 235-nucleotide long non-coding RNA. RefSeq lists it as uncharacterized. The record is from RefSeq and is a predicted model, not a curated record. Lineage: Eukaryota; Viridiplantae; Streptophyta; Magnoliopsida; Poales; Poaceae. The transcript has 3 exons.